AUUGAACGCUGGCGGCAGGCCUAACACAUGCAAGUCGAGCGGAUGAAGGGAGCUUGCUCCUGGAUUCAGCGGCGGACGGGUGUGUAAUGCCUAGGAAUCUGCCUGGUAGUGGGGGAUAACGUCCGGAAACGGGCGCUAAUACCGCAUACGUCCUGAGGGAGAAAGUGGGGGAUCUUCGGACCUCACGCUAUCAGAUGAGCCUAGGUCGGAUUAGCUAGUUGGUGGGGUAAAGGCCUACCAAGGCGACGAUCCGUAACUGGUCUGAGAGGGUGAUCAGUCACACUAGAACUGAGACACGGUCCCGACUCCUACGCAAGGCAGCAGUCGGGAAUAUUGGGCAAUGGGCGAAAGACUGAUCCAGCCAUGCCGCGUGUGUGGAGAAGGUCUUCGGAUUGUAAAGCACUUUAAGUUGGGAGGAAGGGAAGUAAGUUAAUACCUUGCUGUUUUGACGUUACCAACAGAAUAAGCACCGGCUAACUUCGUG
RNAcentral lists this ribosomal RNA (484 nucleotides) under uncultured bacterium. RNAcentral's name for it is "partial 16S ribosomal RNA". It matches the Rfam family "Bacterial small subunit ribosomal RNA", at positions 30 to 507 of the family's 1533-position model. The record is from RNAcentral.